UAGGGAAUCUUCCACAAUGGACGCAAGUCUGAUGGAGCAACGCCGCGUGAGUGAAGAAGGUUUUCGGACCGUAAAGCUCUGUUGUUGGUGAAGAAGGAUAGAGGUAGUAACUGGCCUUUAUUUGACGGUAAUCAACCAGAAAGUCACGGCUAACUACGUGCCAGCAGCCGCGGUAAUACGUAGGUGGCAAGCGUUGUCCGGAUUUAUUGGGCGUAAAGCGAGCGCAGGCGGAAGAAUAAGUCUGAUGUGAAAGCCCUCGGCUUAACCGAGGAAUUGCAUCGGAAACUGUUUUCUUGAGUGCAGAAGAGGAGAGUAGAACUCCAUGUGUAGCGGUGGAAUGCGUAGAUAUAUGGAAGAAUACCAGUGGCGAAGGCGGCUCUCUGGUCUGCAACUGACGCUGAGGCUCGAAAGCAUGGGUAGCGAACAGGAUUAGAUACCCUGGUAGUCCAUGCCGUAAACGAUGAGUGCUAAGUGUUGGGAGGCUUCCGCCUCUCAGUGCUGCAGCUAACGCAUUAAGCACUCCGCCUGGG
This 530-nucleotide ribosomal RNA is filed under the name uncultured bacterium. RNAcentral's name for it is "partial 16S ribosomal RNA". It matches the Rfam family "Bacterial small subunit ribosomal RNA", at positions 355 to 877 of the family's 1533-position model. The record is from RNAcentral.